AUUGAACGCUGGCGGCAUGCCUUACACAUGCAAGUCGAACGGCAGCACGGGAGCAAUCCUGGUGGCGAGUGGCGAACGGGUGAGUAAUAUAUCGGAACGUGCCCAGUCGUGGGGAUAACGUAGCGAAAGCUACGCUAAUACCGCAUACGAUCUAUGGAUGAAAGCGGGGGAUCGCAAGACCUCGCGCGAUUGGAGCGGCCGAUAUCAGAUUAGGUAGUUGGUGAGGUAAAGGCUCACCAAGCCGACGAUCUGUAGCUGGUCUGAGAGGACGACCAGCCACACUGGGACUGAGACACGGCCCAGACUCCUACGGGAGGC
This 318-nucleotide ribosomal RNA is filed under the name uncultured bacterium. Its description in RNAcentral is "bacterial SSU rRNA". It matches the Rfam family "Bacterial small subunit ribosomal RNA", at positions 30 to 349 of the family's 1533-position model. The record is from RNAcentral.